Molecule: ribosomal RNA, 463 nt
Filed under: uncultured bacterium
Lineage: Bacteria
Description: partial 16S ribosomal RNA
Rfam family: Bacterial small subunit ribosomal RNA
Source: RNAcentral
GACGAACGCUGGCGGCGUGCUUAACACAUGCAAGUCGAACGGAAAGGCCUUUUCGGAGGUACUCGAGUGGCGAACGGGUGAGUAACACGUGGGUGAUCUGCCCUGCACUCUGGGAUAAGCCUGGGAAACUGGGUCUAAUACCGGAUAGGACCGCACUUUAGUGUGUGUGGUGGAAAGUUUUUUCGGUGUAGGAUGAGCCCGCGGCCUAUCAGCUUGUUGGUGGGGUAAUGGCCUACCAAGGCGGCGACGGGUAGCCGGACUGAGAGGUUGGUCGGCCACAUUGGGACUGAGAUACGGCCCAGACUGCGACGGGAGGCAGAAGGGGGGAAUAUUGCACAAUGGGCGCAAGCCUGAUGCAGCGACGCCGCGGGGGGGAGGACGGCCUUCGGGUUGUAAAAUCAUUGCGCCAGGGACGAAGCGUUUUGUGACGGUACCUGGAGAAGAAGCACCGGCUAACUACGUG